RNAcentral lists this ribosomal RNA (467 nucleotides) under uncultured bacterium. Its description in RNAcentral is "partial 16S ribosomal RNA". It matches the Rfam family "Bacterial small subunit ribosomal RNA", at positions 28 to 507 of the family's 1533-position model. The record is from RNAcentral.
GACGAACGCUGGCGGCGUGCUUAACACAUGCAAGUCGAACGGAAAGGCCCUGCUUUUGUGGGGUGCUCGAGUGGCGAACGGGUGAGUAACACGUGAGUAACCUGCCCUUGACUUUGGGAUAACUUCAGGAAACUGGGGCUAAUACCGGAUAGGAGCUCCUGCUGCAUGGUGGGGGUUGGAAAGUUUCGGCGGUUGGGGAUGGACUCGCGGCUUAUCAGCUUGUUGGUGGGGUAGUGGCUUACCAAGGCUUUGACGGGUAGCCGGCCUGAGAGGGUGACCGGCCAAAUUGGGACUGGGAUACGGCCCAGACUCCAACGGGAGGAAGCAGUGGGGAAUAUUGCACAAUGGGCGGAAGCCGGAUGAAGCAACGCCGCGGGCGGGAGGAGGGCCUUCGGGUUGUAACCGCUUUCGCCUGUGACGAAGCGUGAGUGACGGUAAUGGGUAAAGAAGCACCGGCUAACUACGUG